Molecule: ribosomal RNA, 450 nt
Filed under: uncultured bacterium
Lineage: Bacteria
Description: partial 16S ribosomal RNA
Rfam family: Bacterial small subunit ribosomal RNA
Source: RNAcentral
GUGGGGAAUCUUCCGCAAUGGACGAAAGUCUGACGGAGCGACGCCGCGUGAGUGAAGAAGGCCUUCGGGUCGUAAAGCUCUGUCAUCAGGGACGAACGGCCGGUGGAGUGGAAAGCCACCGGAUUGACGGUACCUGAGAAGGAAGCCACGGCUAACUACGUGCCAGCAGCCGCGGUAAUACGUAGGUGGCAAGCGUUGUCCGGAAUUAUUGGGCGUAAAGCGCGCGCAGGUGGGAUCUUAAGUCCAUUUUUAAAGUUCGGAGCUCAACUCCGUGAUGGGAUGGAAACUGGGAUUCGUGAGUACCGGAGAGGAAAGCGGAAUUCCCCGUGUAGCGGUGAAAUGCGUAGAGAUUUGGAAGAACACCAGUGGCGAAGGCGACUUUCUGGACGAUGUCUGACGCUGAGGCGCGAAAGCUAGGGGAGCGAACGGGAUUAGAUACCCGAGUAGUCC